UAACGAGCUUGGCAACAGCUAUUCGUUAGUAUUAAUGCAACUGAACAAUAAGUUCAACGGUCACAAGUCCGAAAGUAAAGAUGCAGAGUGGUAC
Molecule: non-coding RNA, 94 nt
Filed under: unclassified sequences
Source: RNAcentral